Non-coding RNA from Salmo salar (Atlantic salmon), 995 nucleotides. Lineage: Eukaryota; Metazoa; Chordata; Actinopteri; Salmoniformes; Salmonidae. The record is from RefSeq and is a predicted model, not a curated record.
ACAGAGGAACUUUUUGCGUCGAACCCGGAAACGUCCGAGGGACCUAUUAUAGUGUUGCAUAAACAGACCAGCCUGGUCGUCGGAAAGAUGUCUGACCAGAAACCAACGGUGGAUCCUGAAGUUCCCUUUGCCAAGAGAAUAGAUCCAAACAAGGAGGAUCUUACCAGGGACGAGUUCUACUUUAUCAGACAAGUGGAGCUUGCGCAAUGGAAGAAGAAAUCGCAGCAGCUGAGGGGCCGUAAUAUUGCAACAGGACUUGGUAUCGGAGCCAUUGUAAUGGGAAUUUAUGCCUACACGUUUUACUCAGUGAAACAGGAGAAGAUCAUGGAUGAGCUGGAUGAGGAGGCCAAGAUGAGAGGGGCAAAGACAGGCACCAACUGACAUGGCAAUCAGAACUUAGCUCAGAUGGACUGUGUGGUGUGCCACGUAUCCUAUCUACUGCACUGGAAGGGACGAAAAGACUAAUGCUGACGCUACACCUUAUUCCACUGCUAGCCAUUGUCAACUUUCAAAGAGGCAGCAUCGGACAUGUUUUGCCCAGGAUCUGUAGGUUAUGUAAAAUUGCUGCUGAGUUAAGCGUUUUCAUUGUGAUUAAACAUGCUUGUCAAUAGGAGGAAAGAUCUACUGCUCCCGAUUGCCCUACCAAUUCAGGAUACCUGGGUGGUGUUUACUAAAUGGAAGAAAAUGGACUACUUGUAGUUGUUGUAGACUUUUGUAAGAAACGGUCACUUAAAAAAAAAACAUGAACAGGACCCUAUUCUUCCUUUUCUCCCAAUAAGUAGUCAGUCACUUGUAUAGAAUUAUUGGUACUGCCCCAUUCAGCGCCAUAUGUCUCCCAAAACUGUCUAUAGAACUAAUUCAACCUCCAAUCAAUAAUGUUAAUUCUACAGUGGCCUUGAAAUGUGUGGGAUUUGAAUUGGAACUACUGAACUGAGACAAAGAAACACAAUCAGAUUGAAAUAUAUUUAUGUUGAUAAAGGACGGAGUUGUAAAAA